CCUACGGGCGGCAGCAGUGGGGAAUAUUGGGCAAUGGGCGCAAGCCUGACCCAGCAACGCCGCGUGAAGGAAGAAGGCUUUCGGGUUGUAAACUUCUUUUCUCAGGGAAGAAGCAAGUGACGGUACCUGAGGAAUAAGCCACGGCUAACUACGUGCCAGCAGCCGCGGGAAUACGUAGGUGGCAAGCGUUAUCCGGAUUUACUGGGUGUAAAGGGCGUGUAGGCGGGAAAGCAAGUCAGAUGGGAAAACCAUGGGCUCAACCUGUGGCCUGCAGUUGAAACUGUUUUUCUUGAGUACUGGAGAGGCAGACGGAAUUCCUAGUGUAGCGGUGAAAUGCGUAGAUAUUAGGAGGAACACCAGUGGCGAAGGCGGUCUGCUGGACAGCAACUGACGCUGAGGCGCGAAAGCGUGGGGAGCAAACAGGAUUAGAUACCCCUGUAGUC
RNAcentral lists this ribosomal RNA (443 nucleotides) under uncultured bacterium. RNAcentral's name for it is "partial 16S ribosomal RNA". It matches the Rfam family "Bacterial small subunit ribosomal RNA", at positions 338 to 795 of the family's 1533-position model. The record is from RNAcentral.